UACGUAGGGGGCAAGCGUUGUCCGGAUUUAUUGGGCGUAAAGAGCGUGUAGGCGGCCAGGUAGGUCUGCUGUGAAAACUCGAGGCUUAACCUCGAGCUGUCGGCGGAAACCAUCUGGCUAGAGUCCGGAAGAGGAGAAUGGAAUUCCCGGUGUAGCGGUGAAAUGCGCAGAUAUCGGGAAGAACACCCGUGGCGAAGGCGGCAUCCUGGACCGGCAUUGACGCUGAGGCGCGAAAGCCAGGGGAGCAAACGGG
RNAcentral lists this ribosomal RNA (253 nucleotides) under uncultured bacterium. Its description in RNAcentral is "partial 16S ribosomal RNA". It matches the Rfam family "Bacterial small subunit ribosomal RNA", at positions 524 to 776 of the family's 1533-position model. The record is from RNAcentral.